CAGUAGCCGCGGGAAUACGUAGGUGGCAAGCGUUGUCCGGAAUUAUUGGGCGUAAAGGGCUCGCAGGCGGUUUCUUAAGUCUGAUGUGAAAGCCCCCGGCUCAACCGGGGAGGGUCAUUGGAAGCUGGGAAACUUGAGUGCAGAAGAGGAGAGUGGAAUUCCACGUGUAGCGGUGAAAUGCGUAGAGAUGUGGAGGAACACCAGUGGCGAAGGCGACUCUCUGGUCUGUAACUGACGCUGAGGAGCGAAAGCGUGGGGAGCGGACAGGAUUAGAUACCCCCGUAGUCCCUGUCUCUUAUAC
RNAcentral lists this ribosomal RNA (301 nucleotides) under uncultured bacterium. Its description in RNAcentral is "partial 16S ribosomal RNA". It matches the Rfam family "Bacterial small subunit ribosomal RNA", at positions 509 to 807 of the family's 1533-position model. The record is from RNAcentral.